This 779-nucleotide long non-coding RNA is filed under the name Homo sapiens (human). Its description in RNAcentral is "non-protein coding lnc-C16orf74-1:2". The record is from RNAcentral. Lineage: Eukaryota; Metazoa; Chordata; Mammalia; Primates; Hominidae.
CCGCCGCCGCCACCACCACCAGCGCCCGGGCGGGCCUCGCGCGCCUCGGGCGCGGCUCCGCAGUGAGCCCACCAAGAAGGAAGCGGCUGGACAAAUCAGGACGCAAACCCUCGUCAGCUUUGGAACACAAAUAUUUGCCAGUGAAGAAAACAUUCCCUCAUCAGUCAAAACCCGGACAGUCUGGCACACACGUCUGCAGCUGCCUGAGGGAGCUUCUACUGUGGGAGGGGCCAGAUGGCCCACAGCUCCCCCUCCUCCCUGAACACUGCAGGCUCCUUCUCUUCCUACUUCAUUUUGAAGAUAAAGAGACAGGGGUUCAGAGUUGUCACUUGCCCUUGGUCACAUAGCAUCCAGAGUGACCUUUGAUUUCUUCUCUUCGAGCAUAUCUGUCUUUUCUCUUUUGUUUUUAUUUUUUUUUAAUAGAGAUGGGGUCUUGGCAUGUUGCCUAGGCUGAUCUCAAACUCCUGGCCUCAAGUGAUCCUUCUGCCUCGGCCUCCCAAAGUGCUGGGAUUACAGGCGUGCCUGGCCAAGAGUAUGUGUCUUCACACAUGAAAGUAACUCAGCGAAAACUCCAGAUCUGUAAAUAACAACUUCUAAGGCAGAUACACAACAGACACAGCUUUGUGAGCAGGCCUGUGAGCUUUACGGCUUUUUUUCACCUUCCCAGUGACCCUCUAUGGGGCUUCAGGGAGGUUGGAGAGGAGAGCAUCCGGUUAGCUGGGGCGGGGGCAGGGGGUGCUUUCUGCUGGAAUUCCAAACCCUGGAAUCCUCAUGUCUCC